AUAACCACUGCCACUCUAUUGCUUUGCUAACAUCUUUGCUGCUCUCUCACCUUGCAAUCUAUUGCAUACAAUUUCCCCAAUUUGGAAGUCUUUACCCACACACUCAUUCUCUCCAACACUUUUAUCAUUCAUUUAAUUUCAAACCACUUAUUGUCCCUUACUUUUUGGGAACACAAUUUGGCGAUGAAUUUACCUGGAUAUAUUUUUUGCAUAUCUAAUUCUAGCUUGGUGACUGUAUUAGCCUGUUCUCACACUGCUAUAAAUAAAUACCUGAGGCUGGGCAAUUUAUAAGGAAAAGAGAUUUAAUUGGCUCAUGGUUCCUCAUGCUGUAUGGGAAGCAUGAUUCUGGCAUCUGCUUGGCUUCUAGGAAGGCCUCAGGAAACCUUUAUUCAUGAUGUGGAGCAGGCAUCUUCACAUGGCCAGAGCAGGAGGGGGCGGAGGGGCAGUGCCACACACUUUAAAACAACCAGAUCUCAUGAGAAUUCUGUCAUGAGAACAGCACCAAAGAGAUGGUGCUAAACCAUUAGAAACCACCCCCCAUGAUCCAAUCACCUCCCAUCAGGCCCCACCUCCAACACUGGGGAUUACAACUGAAUACAAGAUUUGGAUGAUGACACAAGUUCAAACCACAUCAGUGUCUGCUUCUCAGAGGACCCCAACUAUGGCACAAUCCAUUCUGAGGUUCCAUCAUGUUGAGCUUUGACAUCUGUCUCUCACCCAAGCAUCCCAGCCCUAAGCAAUAAUAUUACAAAGAGGGAAAGAGCCGUCUCUCAGUGCCACCAUUCCCUUGGUAUUGAAUGCCAGGCCCAAAUCAACCCUUCCUUCUAAAUGAGAUUCAAUUUGGAAAGGAUUUUAUCAUGUGAUAAAUGAAAAAGAAAAUUAACACUGGGAAACGUACCAUCCCAAUAAAAAGAUAGAAAAUGUAUAUUCAGAAUCGGACAGUGUUGUAUAAAAUUGUAUCUUAAAGAGCCUGAUAGAGGGUACUACUGCUUUUUCAAUCAGCAAGCAGUUACUAUUUUUCUAUUCUUGAUGUAUUGUAUUCCUAGGGCUGCAAAACAAAGUACCACAAACUGAAUAGCUUUAAACAACAGACAUUUAUUCUCUCACAGUUCUGGAGGCUAAAAGUCUGAAAUCAAGUUGUCAGCAGGGCCAUGCUCUCUCUCUGAAGGCUCUAGGGGAGAACUUGCUCCAUGCCUUUCUCUUGGCCUCUGGUGUUCUUGCCAAGCCUUGGUGUUCCUUGGCUUAUUAACACGUUCGUUCAAUUCCUGCCUCUGUGGUUACAUGGUGUUCUCCUGGAGUGUCUCUCUCUCUCUCUCUUUCUUCUUAUAAGGACACCAGUCAUAAUGGAUUAGGGCCCACCCUAAUGACAUUGUAGUAACUCGAU
Molecule: long non-coding RNA, 1384 nt
Filed under: Homo sapiens (human)
Lineage: Eukaryota; Metazoa; Chordata; Mammalia; Primates; Hominidae
Description: HSALNT0315448
Source: RNAcentral